AUACGGAGGGGGCUAGCGUUGUUCGGAAUUACAGGGCGCAAAGCGCACGUAGGCGGAUUAAAAAGUUAGAGGUGAAAUCCCAGGGCUUAACCCUGGAACUGCCUUUAAAACUAGUAGUCUAGAGUUCGAGAGAGGUGAGUGGAAUUCCAAGUGUAGAGGUGAAAUUCGUAGAUAUUUGGAGGAACACCAGUGGCGAAGGCGGCUCACUGGCUCGAUACUGACGCUGAGGUGCGAAAGCGUGGGGAGCAAACAGGAUUAGAUACCCCGGUAGUCC
RNAcentral lists this ribosomal RNA (274 nucleotides) under uncultured bacterium. RNAcentral describes it as "partial 16S ribosomal RNA". It matches the Rfam family "Bacterial small subunit ribosomal RNA", at positions 523 to 796 of the family's 1533-position model. The record is from RNAcentral.